GACGAACGCUGGCGGCGCGCUUAACACAUGCAAGUCGAGCGAUGAAAUUUCGACAGAUCCCUUCGGGGUGAAGAUGAAAUGGAUUAGCGGCGGACGGGUGAGUAACACGUGAGUAACCUGCCUUUGACAUUGGGAUAGCCUCGGGAAACUGGGAUUAAUACCAAAUGACACUAACUGAUCACAUGAUCAAUUAGUCAAAGAAAUUCGGUCAAAGAUGAACUCGCGGCUGAUUAGCUAGUUGGUGAGGUAACGGCCCACCAAGGCGACGAUCAGUAGCCGGCCUGAGAGGGUGAUCGGCCACAUUGGAACUGAGACACGGUCCAAACUCCUACGGGAGGCAGCAGUGGGGAAUAUUGCACAAUGGGGGAAACCCUGAUGCAGCGACGCCGCGUGAGCGAAGAAGGCCUUCGGGUCGUAAAGCUCUUUUAUGAGGGAAGAUAAUGACGGUACCUCAAGAAAAAGCCCCGGCUAACUACGUG
RNAcentral lists this ribosomal RNA (479 nucleotides) under uncultured bacterium. RNAcentral describes it as "partial 16S ribosomal RNA". It matches the Rfam family "Bacterial small subunit ribosomal RNA", at positions 28 to 507 of the family's 1533-position model. The record is from RNAcentral.